CAGGUUGAUUCUGCCUGACGUAGACGCUAUACUCUAAGAUUAACCCAUGCAUGUUUAUUGAAUAUAAAGAAAAGACGAACAGCUCAGUAACUCUUAUUUGAUUUGAUGUAUUAGGAUUCUAACUAUGUUAAAUUAUAGGUAACAAUAAUACAAUAAGAAUAAGAUCUAUCAGUUAGUUGUUAAGGUAAUGGCUUAACAAGACUAUGACGGAUAACGGUAUUACUUUGUAAUAUUCCGGAGAAGGAGCCUGAGAGAUUGCUACUAAGUCUAAGGAUUGCAGCAGGGGCGAAACUUGACCUAUGAUAUUAUAUUGAGGCAGUUAUGAGUAGUAUUUUAUAAUUAUUGUAGUAUUGUAAGUACAUAUUACAAGAUAAAUCGGAGGGCAAUCGAGUGCCAGCAGCCGCGGUAAUACUUGUUCCGAUAGUGUGUAUGAUGAUUGAUGCAGUUAAAAAGUCUGUAGUUUAUUUUAUAAUAAGCAUUGUAAGGUAUACUGUAUGGUUAGGAGAGAGAUGAAAUGUGAUAACCCUAACUGGAUGCAACAGAAGCGAAAGCUGUAUACUUAAAUGUAUUAUUAGAACAAGGACGUAAGCUAGAGGAUCGAAGAUGAUUAGAUACCAUUGUAGUUCUAGCAGUAAACUAUGUUGAAUCAUAGAUAUAUUUUGAUAUAUAUUUAUGUAGAGAAAUUAAGAUUAUAUUGACUCUG
This 703-nucleotide non-coding RNA is filed under the name Nosema bombycis CQ1. Its description in RNAcentral is "Microsporidia small subunit ribosomal RNA". It matches the Rfam family "Microsporidia small subunit ribosomal RNA", at positions 4 to 750 of the family's 1311-position model. Lineage: Eukaryota; Fungi; Microsporidia; Nosematidae. The record is from Rfam by way of RNAcentral.